RNAcentral lists this ribosomal RNA (649 nucleotides) under Salmonella enterica subsp. enterica serovar Derby. Its description in RNAcentral is "partial 23S ribosomal RNA". It matches the Rfam family "Bacterial large subunit ribosomal RNA", at positions 711 to 1272 of the family's 2925-position model. Lineage: Bacteria; Pseudomonadati; Pseudomonadota; Gammaproteobacteria; Enterobacterales; Enterobacteriaceae. The record is from RNAcentral. RNAcentral also lists the same sequence under 1 other name.
AGACCCGAAACCCGGUGAUCUAGCCAUGGGCAGGUUGAAGGUUGGGUAACACUAACUGGAGGACCGAACCGACUAAUGUUGAAAAAUUAGCGGAUGACCUGUGGCUGGGGGUGAAAGGCCAAUCAAACCGGGAGAUAGCUGGUUCUCCCCGAAAGCUAUUUAGGUAGCGCCUCGUGAAUUCAUCUCCGGGGGUAGAGCACUGUUUCGGCUAGGGGGCCAUCCCGGCUUACCAACCCGAUGCAAACUGCGAAUACCGGAGAAUGUUAUCACGGGAGACACACGGCGGGUGCUAACGUCCGUCGUGAAGAGGGAAACAACCCAGACCGCCAGCUAAGGUCCCAAAGUCAUGGUUAAGUGGGAAACGAUGUGGGAAGGCCCAGACAGCCAGGAUGUUGGCUUAGAAGCAGCCAUCAUUUAAAGAAAGCGUAAUAGCUCACUGGUCGAGUCGGCCUGCGCGGAAGAUGUAACGGGGCUAAACCAUGCACCGAAGCUGCGGCAGCGAACGUAUCACCCAAGACAACUUUACGGAGUUGACGAUUGACGGAGCGAAGCGACGUCAAAGCGUUCAUUAAAGUCGAGUUGGCUUAGGGAUACGUUCGUUGGGUAGGGGAGCGUUCUGUAAGCCUGUGAAGGUGGCCUGUGAGGGUUG